CGAUGUAGACGUGAAUUAUUAUUCCUGCUAGGUGUCCCCCCGGGCUUGGUACCGUUCGUAGUACUUUUCUUGAUAUUGUACUUUUAUUUUCUCCUAGCAGAAGAGUGAUUGUGAGUUAUACACUUGAGCGUACAUUGUAAAAGAGUUAUUUACUCUUCUUUAUUGUUGGUUCUUGUUUCUCAAGGGAUUAGGUGCGCCUAGAAAGUUAGUCGUUGUCUAGCUUUCAGUUAUUCACCGUUGAUGAGGUUUUGGGAAGAUGUAGAGGCUAAGUAAGAAGGUGUCUUAUUGUGUAAGUCCUUUGUACAUCUUAACUUCAUAUAGUGGAUGAUUUUCCCUGGGCGAGGCCCCCCAGACGUAGGUUGUUUAACCGAACUGGGUUAUCAUUCGUUGUGUUCUAUCUUUCGUACUCACACUCAUUGUUACAACACAUCUCACCACUUUUUGUUUGGAUUAGUUAUUUUUUCAAUUGGUAUCAGAGCAGGUCACCUAAGUUACCGGUGUUAGAUCUUGGUGACACUAAUCCAUGUGGUAUUUUUGGAGAUGUUUUUGAUUUUGAAGUUUUUCGCCCCAAGUUUGAAGUUCUUCUAUGUCAACGGGGAGAAGUCGAGAUGAAAGGAAGGUUGUUGCUGCUACUGCUACAUCGAAUUCAGGGGGAGAAGAUUGUAAAGGAGGAGACUGUUCCUUGGUCAGUCGCCAAUACUGUACCUCCAUGAGUUUCUACUUGUGUCGCCUGAUGUUGUUUCCCCGAGUGUUUUUCGAAGUGUUGCAAUAGAUAUUGAUUCUCCUGCUGCUAUUGCUGGUUUGUUUAUCUAUUUGCUCUUGAUUUGAGAGGGGAGUUCAUCAUAUCUCAGUUUAUGAUUUUAAGAUUACUCUUGAUGCGAUUUAUUCUUGAGUUGAGCAGAUGUUGUUUUUGUCUACACCAAUGACAAAGGGGAAGAUUGUUAGAGUAUUUUCAUACUCUAUUUAAUUGUCAUUGAGUAGACAAUAAGUGUAUAAAGAUUUCAUGUCUGGAUUGAACUGUUUCUUUGGGAGUUGCUUCAAGAGUUCUACAGUUUGUUCCUUGUUGGGUUGCUUCUUCGGUCUCAUAUUUCUGGCAGCCUCUUUCCCUGCGGGAUUUUGAAGGAGUUUCUCUUGGAUCUAUUUAUGGAUAUAUAUCUACUAGAUCUUUUGUUGGCUUGGGAGUCCUCAUUCAUAGGGUUUCAUUGAACCCUAAUUUGUGCCACUGCAACUGGAUCGCUUUAUGGGCCGUCGCCUGGAGCCCGAUAAGAGCCCAAACUUCUUCUAGGGUUUGACUAUAUAUACUUGAUGAAGGGAAUUCGUUUUUGCUGGGGAUUUUCGUUCAGAUCAGUUCUCACGAUGUAGACGUGAAUUAUUAUUCCUGCUAGGUGUCCCCCCGGGCUUGGUACCGUCCGUAGUACUUUUCUUGAUAUUGUACUUUUAUUUUCUCCUAGCAGAAGAGUGUUUGUGAGUUAUACACUUGAGCGUACAUUGUAAAAGAGUUAUUUACUCUUCUUUAUUGUUGGUUCUUGUUUCUCAAGGGAUUAGGUGCGCCUAGAAAGUUAGUCGUUGUCUAGCUUUCAGUUAUUCACCGUUGAUGAGGUUUUGGGAAGAUGUAGAGGCU
RNAcentral lists this long non-coding RNA (1621 nucleotides) under Salvia miltiorrhiza (redroot sage). Its description in RNAcentral is "long non-coding RNA (SMIL_LNC004978)". The record is from RNAcentral. Lineage: Eukaryota; Viridiplantae; Streptophyta; Magnoliopsida; Lamiales; Lamiaceae.